UACGGGGGGAGCAAGCGUUGUUCGGAUUUACUGGGCGUAAAGGGCGCGUAGGCGGCCAGCGCAAGUCAGUUGUGAAAUCUCCGGGCUUAACUCGGAACGGUCAACUGAUACUGCGCGGCUAGAGUGCAGAAGGGGCAACUGGAAUUCUCGGUGUAGCGGUGAAAUGCGUAGAUAUCUAGAGGAACGCCAAAGGCGAAGGCAGGCAGCUGGGCCAAUUCUGACGCUGAGGCACGAAAGCGUGGGGAGCGAACGGG
This 254-nucleotide ribosomal RNA is filed under the name uncultured bacterium. RNAcentral describes it as "partial 16S ribosomal RNA". It matches the Rfam family "Bacterial small subunit ribosomal RNA", at positions 524 to 776 of the family's 1533-position model. The record is from RNAcentral.